RNAcentral lists this ribosomal RNA (253 nucleotides) under uncultured bacterium. RNAcentral describes it as "partial 16S ribosomal RNA". It matches the Rfam family "Bacterial small subunit ribosomal RNA", at positions 524 to 776 of the family's 1533-position model. The record is from RNAcentral.
UACGAAGGAUCCAAGCGUUAUCCGGAUUUAUUGGGUUUAAAGGGUGCGUAGGCGGACUAUUAAGUCAGUGGUGAAAGCCUGCAGCUUAACUGCAGAACUGCCAUUGAUACUGAUGGUCUUGAGUACAUUUGAGGUGGGCGGAAUGUGUCAUGUAGUGGUGAAAUACUUAGAUAUGACACAGAACACCGAUUGCGUAGGCAGCUCACUAAACUCUUACUGACGCUGAGGCACGAAAGCAUGGGGAUCAAACAGG